GAGCGCCCGUAGCAAUACGGGAGCGGCAGACGGGAGAGUAACACGUGGGAACGUACCCUUCGGUUCGGAAUAACCCAGGGAAACUUGGGCUAAUACCGGAUACGUCCGUAAGGAGAAAGAUUUAUCGCCGAAGGAUCGGCCCGCGUCUGAUUAGCUUGUUGGUGAGGUAACGGCUCACCAAGGCGACGAUCAGUAGCUGGUCUGAGAGGAUGAUCAGCCUCACUGGGACUGAGACACGGCCCAGACUCCUACGGGAGGCAGCAGUGGGGAAUAUUGGACAAUGGGCGCAAGCCUGAUCCAGCCAUGCCGCGUGGGUGAUGAAGGCCCUAGGGUUGUAAAGCCCUUUCGGCGGGGAAGAUAAUGACGGUACCCGCAGAAGAAGCCCCGGCUAACUUCGUG
RNAcentral lists this ribosomal RNA (399 nucleotides) under uncultured bacterium. RNAcentral describes it as "bacterial SSU rRNA". It matches the Rfam family "Bacterial small subunit ribosomal RNA", at positions 64 to 507 of the family's 1533-position model. The record is from RNAcentral.